UACGUAGGUGGCGAGCGUUGUCCGGAAUUACUGGGCGUAAAGGGCGCGUAGGCGGUUAAUUAAGUCAGGUGUGAAAACUGUGGGCUCAACCCAGAGACUGCAUCUGAUACUGGAUAACUUGAGUGCAGGAGAGGGCAGUGGAAUUCCUAGUGUAGCGGUGAAAUGCGUAGAUAUUAGGAGGAACACCAGUGGCGAAGGCGGCUGCCUGGACUGUAACUGACGCUGAGGCGCGAAAGCGUGGGGAGCGAACAGGAUUAGA
This 259-nucleotide ribosomal RNA is filed under the name uncultured prokaryote. RNAcentral describes it as "partial 16S ribosomal RNA". It matches the Rfam family "Bacterial small subunit ribosomal RNA", at positions 524 to 782 of the family's 1533-position model. The record is from RNAcentral.